RNAcentral lists this ribosomal RNA (792 nucleotides) under uncultured bacterium. Its description in RNAcentral is "bacterial SSU rRNA". It matches the Rfam family "Bacterial small subunit ribosomal RNA", at positions 8 to 796 of the family's 1533-position model. The record is from RNAcentral.
AGAGUUUGAUCAUGGCUCAGGAUGAACGCUAGCGGCAGGCCUAAUACAUGCAAGCCGAACGGCAAGUCUGAUAGCAAUAUUAGACCUAGAGUGGCGUAAGAGUGCGUAACACGUAUGCAAUCUGCCCGCAACAGGAGGAUAGCUCCCCGAAAGGGGAAUUAACCCUCCAUAGGAUCACACGAAGGCAUCUGAGAGUGAUUAAACCAAAAGGGGUUGCGGAUGAGCAUGCGGUUGAUUAGCUAGUUGGCGGGGUAACGGCCCACCAAGGCGAUGAUCAAUAGGGGAACUGGGAGGUUUAUCCCCCACACUGGCACUGAGAUACGGGCCAGACUCCUACGGGAGGCAGCAGUAGGGAAUAUUGGACAAUGGGCGAGAGCCUGAUCCAGCCAUGCCGCGUGCAGGAAGAAGGCCUUCUGGGUUGUAAACUGCUUUUGCCAGGGGAUAAAAGACCCGUGCGCGGGGAAUUGAAGGUACCUGGUGAAUAAGCCACGGCUAACUACGUGCCAGCAGCCGCGGUAAUACGUAGGUGGCAAGCGUUGUCCGGAUUUAUUGGGUUUAAAGGGUGCGUAGGCGGUUCUAUAAGUCAGUGGUGAAAUACGGCAGCUCAACUGUCGAGGUGCCAUUGAUACUGCAGAACUUGAGUACAGACGAGGUAGGCGGAAUUGACGGUGUAGCGGUGAAAUGCUUAGAUAUCGUCAAGAACACCGAUAGCGAAGGCAGCUUACUAGACUGUAACUGACGCUGAGGCACGAAAGUGUGGGGAUCAAACAGGAUUAGAUACCCUAGUAGUCC